CGCUAAGCCCACAAUUGGCGAUAAGAGAGUGCGAUUUUUGAAGGUUUAGCAAAGCAAGCGGUCGGCAAAUUGUGGCUUGGUGUUGGUGGUGGACUGUUGGGGUCAAAAACGAUGGUUUUUGUAUGGCCUCCAUGUCUCUUCCCGUUGCCUCUUUACUUGAUCCAUCAUGUAAACACUCUUUUCAUUUGCAGCAACUGCAUAAAUUUAAGUGCUCAUGAUUUUAAAAUUUUUAAUGCAAAAGCAUUGUUUAAUUCCAUUAUUAGCAUUCAUGCCUACGGGACUUGCUUGUG
Molecule: unclassified non-coding RNA, 290 nt
Filed under: Hevea brasiliensis (rubber tree)
Lineage: Eukaryota; Viridiplantae; Streptophyta; Magnoliopsida; Malpighiales; Euphorbiaceae
Source: RNAcentral